CAGUAGCCGCGGGAAUACGGAGGGGGCUAGCGUUGUUCGGAAUUACUGGGCGUAAAGCGCACGUAGGCUGCUUUGUAAGUUAGAGGUGAAAGCCUGGUGCUCAACACCAGAACUGCCUUUAAGACUGCAGAGCUAGGACGUCGGAGAGGUGAGUGGAAUUCCGAGUGUAGAGGUGAAAUUCGUAGAUAUUCGGAAGAACACCAGUGGCGAAGGCGGCUCACUGGACGACUGUUGACGCUGAGGUGCGAAAGCGUGGGGAGCAAACGGGAUUAGAUACCCCUGUAGUCCCUGUCUCUUAUAC
This 301-nucleotide ribosomal RNA is filed under the name uncultured bacterium. RNAcentral describes it as "partial 16S ribosomal RNA". It matches the Rfam family "Bacterial small subunit ribosomal RNA", at positions 509 to 807 of the family's 1533-position model. The record is from RNAcentral.